This 336-nucleotide ribosomal RNA is filed under the name uncultured bacterium. Its description in RNAcentral is "bacterial SSU rRNA". It matches the Rfam family "Bacterial small subunit ribosomal RNA", at positions 8 to 334 of the family's 1533-position model. The record is from RNAcentral.
AGAGUUUGAUUAUGGCUCAGGAUGAACGCUGGCGGCGUGCCUAAUACAUGCAAGUAGAACGCUGAAGGAAGGAGCUUGCUCUUUCCGGAUGAGUUGCGAACGGGUGAGUAACGCGUAGGUAACCUGCCUGGUAGCGGGGGAUAACUAUUGGAAACGAUAGCUAAUACCGCAUAACAGUAGAUAUUGCAUGAUAUCUGCUUGAAAGGGGCAAUUGCUCCACUACCAGAUGGACCUGCGUUGUAUUAGCUAGUUGGUGAGGUAACGGCUCACCAAGGCGACGAUACAUAGCCGACCUGAGAGGGUGAUCGGCCACACUGGGACUGAGACACGGCCCAG